Molecule: ribosomal RNA, 509 nt
Filed under: uncultured Desulfobulbus sp.
Lineage: Bacteria; Pseudomonadati; Thermodesulfobacteriota; Desulfobulbia; Desulfobulbales; Desulfobulbaceae
Description: bacterial SSU rRNA
Rfam family: Bacterial small subunit ribosomal RNA
Source: RNAcentral
CUAUGCGCCUUGCCAGCCCCGCUCAGAAACUUAAAGGAAUUGACGGGGGCCCGCACAAGCGGCGGAGCAUGUGGAUUAAUUCGAUGCAACGCGAAGAACCUUACCUGGGUUUGACAUACACCGGAAAACCGUAGAGAUACGGUCCCCCUUGUGGUCGGUGUACAGGUGGUGCAUGGCUGUCGUCAGCUCGUGUCGUGAGAUGUUGGGUUAAGUCCCGCAACGAGCGCAACCCUUGCCUUUAGUUGCCAGCAGUUCGGCUGGGCACUCUAAAGGGACUGCCGGUGUUAAACCGGAGGAAGGUGGGGAUGACGUCAAGUCCUCAUGGCCUUUAUGACCAGGGCUACACACGUACUACAAUGGCCGAUACAAAGGGCAGCGACACUGCGAGGUGAAGCCAAUCCCGUAAAAUCGGUCUCAGUCCGGAUUGGAGUCUGCAACUCGACUCCAUGAAGUUGGAAUCGCUAGUAAUCGUGGAUCAGCAUGCCACGGUGAAUACGUUCCCGGGCCUU